GUUUGGUAUUGAUAACAUUUCGGAUUAUAAACUGACUCCGAAGCAUCAGUUCUCUCCAAAGGAUUAUCAUUUUGCCCUAGCACAAAACAUGAUGACAUUGGGCUCUACUCUGGAAUAAUUUUUCAGAAGGAUGUGACUUAAGGAAUACUUCCAUGACAAAGAGAGCACUGAAACCACAAUGGAUUACAACAACAGGAAAAAGAAC
This is a non-coding RNA of Pelobates cultripes (western spadefoot toad), 205 nucleotides long. The record is from the annotation of a GenBank genome assembly. Lineage: Eukaryota; Metazoa; Chordata; Amphibia; Anura; Pelobatidae.